AUUGAACGCUGGCGGCAGGCCUAACACAUGCAAGUCGAACGGUAACAGGAAGCAGCUUGCUGCUUCGCUGACGAGUGGCGGACGGGUGAGUAAUGUCUGGGAAGCUGCCUGAUGGAGGGGGAUAACUACUGGAAACGGUAGCUAAUACCGCAUAAUGUCGCAAGACCAAAGAGGGGGACCUUCGGGCCUCUUGCCAUCGGAUGUGCCCAGAUGGGAUUAGCUUGUUGGUGGGGUAACGGCUCACCAAGGCGACGAUCCCUAGCUGGUCUGAGAGGAUGACCAGCCACACUGGAACUGAGACACGGUCCAGACUCCUACGGGAGGCAGCAGUGGGGAAUAUUGCACAAUGGGCGCAAGCCUGAUGCAGCCAUGCCGCGUGUAUGAAGAAGGCCUUCGGGUUGUAAAGUACUUUCAGCGGGGAGGAAGGGAGUAAAGUUAAUACCUGUGCUCAUUGACGUUACCCGCAGAAGAAGCACCGGCUAACUCCGU
Molecule: ribosomal RNA, 489 nt
Filed under: uncultured bacterium
Lineage: Bacteria
Description: partial 16S ribosomal RNA
Rfam family: Bacterial small subunit ribosomal RNA
Source: RNAcentral